AUUUAGGUAGUUUAAUUAGAAUAAUAAUUUGUGGAGUUAUUGGUGAUGUAUUCUCUAAAUU
RNAcentral lists this transfer RNA (61 nucleotides) under Malcus setosus. Its description in RNAcentral is "tRNA-His". Lineage: Eukaryota; Metazoa; Arthropoda; Insecta; Hemiptera; Malcidae. The record is from RNAcentral.